AUGGACCACGCGUGCACUGCGGUUCUGAGCGCGCCGUCCGCGCCCACCUGACAGCG
RNAcentral lists this small RNA (56 nucleotides) under Xanthomonas oryzae pv. oryzae. RNAcentral describes it as "sX9". It matches the Rfam family "Xanthomonas sRNA sX9", at positions 1 to 55 of the family's 76-position model. Lineage: Bacteria; Pseudomonadati; Pseudomonadota; Gammaproteobacteria; Lysobacterales; Lysobacteraceae. The record is from RNAcentral.